CAUAACCAUCCUACUUUGAUGUUC
RNAcentral lists this non-coding RNA (24 nucleotides) under Arabidopsis thaliana (thale cress). The record is from RNAcentral. Lineage: Eukaryota; Viridiplantae; Streptophyta; Magnoliopsida; Brassicales; Brassicaceae.